Non-coding RNA from Nerophis lumbriciformis (worm pipefish), 1738 nucleotides. The record is from RefSeq and is a predicted model, not a curated record. NCBI's taxonomy places the organism in Eukaryota, Metazoa, Chordata, Actinopteri, Syngnathiformes, Syngnathidae.
GAUGAAAUAGUCUUGUGAUUUUUUCCCCACACAUACAUAUAUUGCGCUCUACUACGGUAUCGAGCACUAUUUUUUGGAUAACCUUAUUAAGACAUAUAUAUAUAUAUAUAUAUAUAUAUAUAUAUCUAAUUAAAUAAAUGCAUACAGUGGGGUGUGGAGACCCCAGCUAAAUGACAGAUAGUUAAUAGCAAUGGACCCUCAGUUCCAUUUACAUUGAUAUUAUACAUGUGGGCCCAUAAAUAGAAAUGUUAAAUGUAGCUUUAAUGUAGCAAGCUACUUUUGUCGUGUAGCUUGCUACGGGGAUAGCUUCCCCUGUAGUCAAGCUACAUUUAAUCGAGAGUAACUUGUAGCUUAGCUUACUAAAUUUUCCAAGUAGCUUGCCCAUCACUGUAUAAAUGUUCAAAAUGUAGUUUCCUAACAGCACUGUUGAAAAAAAGUUGCCACUGGCAGAACAGUGCCGCCACCUUGGCUGUACAGAGGGAUGUGAGACAAUGCACACAUCAGAUGCAGUGCAAGAUGUAUUCUGUUUGCCAAUAUCCGUGUAUUGAAGGGCUCAAAUUAGCAUAUAGUAUAGGAUUUGGGAAAUUAUUGAUGAUUUAGAGCAGGGGUUCUCAAACUUUUUUCACCAAGUACCACCUUAGAAAAAACUUGGCUCUACCACCAUAAUGACCAAGAAACAUUUAAAUACGGUAGCAUAGUAGGCCUAAGUAUUCAUUAAAAACAACACAGAGGUUUUAUUUAACAAGUAUAUUUAAUAUUUUCGGCCACUCUAACAUUACACACAGUUUGAAAAGUAACAGUGUGUUUGAAUAUAGAAAAAUAAAACACUGUACUUUAAUCAAUUGGUUCUUUGGCUUACCACAGUUUGAGAACCCCUACUAUGAGGCAUUCAUUGUAGAAAUACGUCUGGCAACGCUGCUCACAUACAGCCACAUCGUAAAACAAUGCUAUUAUGCUAUAUUAUGUUUUUGGGGGAGUUAAACUGUAUUAAAUGCUGGCUGUAUUAUACAGCAAAUGAUCAAGAGCAACGUCAAUGGGGCAUGUUGUGUAUACGAACAUUUUUCAAACAAGGCCAUUUUAAGCUUCUGUGGUACGAUUAGUUGUCAUAUCCCAUCUGGCAACCUUGGUCAUGUGACUAUCACAGACUGGUUUCCCAAAAAUGGCGGGGAGAUACACUUGGUGCAUUUCAACCACUGGAGUUAGUCUCCUAUCUGUCGCGUAGUCAAGAUGGCGAUGAUGGAAGGCGGAGAGAUCUUCGCGUGUGAAAGGGUUAAAAAUUGGAUGCAAUGGCUGCCAUGCAAAGUUCAUACAGUUUGUGGGUCAUCAGAAGUGGUGAAACAUUGAGGCCUGUGGGUGUGCUGCUGCUGCUACGAGGUGUAGGUCCCAGCAGGCCUCCGCUGCCCAGCAAGCCCAGCCUUACACCUGGUAAGCUCCGAGAGGGCACCUGGAAUUGCCGAAGGCUUCUUCUGGCCAUCACGCUGCUCCCAACACAGCUUGUGGUGGGAAGAGAGUUGGACUGACCGAAUCCACGACUGCUGCAGAACAGAAUAUGUGUAGUUAGUAGGGCUGUAGAUACCGCGUUAUUGCCCUUUCAAAGUCUUCACAGUAAUUCUGUGGCGGUAUCAAACAAAAACUUGGUGUGUAGUUUUUCUCUGACGCUCUAGCGUUGACCGGGUCUGAAAAUAAACUACAUCUCCAAGAAUCCUCUGUUUUCUUGCGGUUUUCACUCGGGGCCGUC